RNAcentral lists this ribosomal RNA (279 nucleotides) under uncultured bacterium. Its description in RNAcentral is "partial 16S ribosomal RNA". It matches the Rfam family "Bacterial small subunit ribosomal RNA", at positions 506 to 784 of the family's 1533-position model. The record is from RNAcentral.
UGCCAGCCGCCGCGGUAAUACGGAUGAGGCAAGCGUUGUUCGGAAUUAUUGGGCUUAAAGCGCGUGUAGGCGGUUUGGUAAGUACCUUGUGAAAUCCCAUGGCUCAACCGUGGAAGUGCUGGGUAUACUGCCAAACUUGAGGCAGGUAGGGGUGUUUGGAACUCUAGGUGGAGCGGUGAAAUGCGUAGAUAUCUAGAGGAACGCCUGUGGCGAAAGCGGAACACUGGACCUGUCCUGACGCUGAGACGCGAAAGCGUAGGUAGCGAACGGGAUUAGAUA